UUUCUUGAGCACAAGGUCACCUUCUCGGAACACACGAGGCUUGACCUUCUUAUCGAAUGCUUUCUUCAUUCUCUGCUGAUAUAACUGACCAUGACACAUGGCAGUUAAUCUCUUCUUUUCGAUCAGAUUCACUUGGUCGUAACGACUCUGAAUCCAUUCAACAUCAGUCAACUUGGGAUUUGAGGGUGCUAUUUUUCUUUUGUUUCUUUCUUUCUUUUUCUUUCUUUUGAUUUUGAUUUUGCUUUUGCUUUUGAUUUUGAUUUUUCACCCUCCUCUUUUUUUUUUUGAUUACAUUUGUAAUGCCCCAAUUGGAUUGUUUUGCUGAUUCUCGAGAUGCAGCUAAGUGAUCUUCUUUUCUUGCUCAAGAAGUCGGGAAAUCUCGUCAGGAAUCCUUUCAACAUCAUCUUCCUCUGCUUCGAAUACAGGGAAUU
This 431-nucleotide long non-coding RNA is filed under the name Lathyrus oleraceus (garden pea). Its description in RNAcentral is "Pisum sativum (pea) long non-coding RNA (PSAT_LNC034246)". Lineage: Eukaryota; Viridiplantae; Streptophyta; Magnoliopsida; Fabales; Fabaceae. The record is from RNAcentral.